AGAGUUUGAUCCUGGCUCAGAAUGAACGUUGGCGGCGUGGAUUAGGCAUGCAAGUCGAGCGGCAGCAGGCCCGCAAGGGCGCUGGCGAGCGGCGAAAGGGAGAGUAACACGCGGGUACCUACCCUCAGGUCCGGGAUAGCUGCGGGAAACUGCAAUUAAUACCGGAUAACGUCUCCGGACCAAAGGUGUGAUUCCACCUGAGGAGGGGCCCACGUCCUAUCAGCUUGUUGGUGAGGUAAUGGCUCACCAAGGCUACGACGGGUACGGGGUGUGAGAGCAUGCCCCCGCUCACUGGGACUGAGACACUGCCCAGACACCUACGGGUGGCUGCAGUCGAGGAUCUUCCGCAAUGGGCGAAAGCCUGACGGAGCGACGCCGCGUGCGGGAUGAAGGCCUUCGGGUUGUAAACCGCUGUCAGAGGGGAACAAGUCCAUGGGGGUUCUCCCUUAUGGUUGAGUGAUCCUCAGAGGAAGCGCAGGCUAAGUCCGUGCCAGCAGCCGCGGUAACACGGACUGCGCGAACGUUAUUCGGAAUUACUGGGCUUAAAGCGUCCGUAGGCGGCUCUGCAGGUGGGGUGUGAAAUCCCUCGGCUCAACCGAGGAAUUGCGCUCCAAACCACAGGGCUUGAGGGAGAUAGAGGUGAGCGGAACUCACGGUGGAGCGGUGAAAUGCGUUGAUAUCGUGAGGAACACCGGUGGCGAAGGCGGCUCACUGGGUCUCUUCUGACGCUGAGGGACGAAAGCUAGGGGGAGCGAACGGGAUUAGAUACCCCGGUAGUCCUAGCUGUAAACGAUGAGCAC
RNAcentral lists this ribosomal RNA (800 nucleotides) under uncultured bacterium. Its description in RNAcentral is "bacterial SSU rRNA". It matches the Rfam family "Bacterial small subunit ribosomal RNA", at positions 8 to 816 of the family's 1533-position model. The record is from RNAcentral.